Molecule: long non-coding RNA, 1631 nt
Organism: Crotalus tigris (Tiger rattlesnake)
Lineage: Eukaryota; Metazoa; Chordata; Lepidosauria; Squamata; Viperidae
Exons: 3
Source: RefSeq, a predicted model, not a curated record
UACAUGGAGCCAUUUUUCUGUGAAUCCUGAAAUCCUCAUGAUUGCAUGUUCCCCUAUUGAGUAUAUUUUAUUUUGUUUUUCAUUUUUUAAAAUAAUCGUUAUGUUAAGCCUAUGUUAGAAAACAGUGGCAAAAUGAGGUAUUAUGGCUUCUCUGAUGUUUUUAUGUUACUUCUAAAUUCAUUUCCCAGAUACCAUGCUAAGAAACAAAAGUUUGGAAAAAUGUGUUUUAUUUUUCUCUUUGAAAAUUUAACACAAAAUGCACCAGGAGCAGCGACAAACAUAUAGAAAUCUCUCACUGGAAUUAGAUUCGGGCAAGAUAUCUAGUUUCUGUAGGGAAAAUUUAAAUUGGAGGUCAUCCGAUUUAUCAAAUGAGCUUCCUGUUACUUAGUCCAAUUGGCAUCUCAAAAGGUCAGUAGAUUUUCAGUCAGAAGUUCAAAAGUUAUAGUACAACUUUUUUUUAGCAUUAAAAAGAUAACCUCCUGGAUCAAAUGAAAGUCCUUUGUUUAAUUAAAGACCCUGUUUUCCUCAGUGACCAAUCCCUCUGGAAAACCCUUACAUAAGAUAGGACCAGAGUAGCUCCCAUUUUUUUGCACCAAGCAAACAGUAUAUAUAAAGAAAUUACAUUUCUAACCUGAAAUUCCUGACAAAUAUCAUAAGUAAGAUGUUAUGGGAAGAUCAUCAAUCAUUUAAAGCCAUGCAAGUUGGUUGCUGCUUCUACAUUUUAGGUACAACUACUGGCAGGAAAGCAUUUGAAGACACCUUAUCAAACCUGUUGCUUCCAUUCCUGAAUUCUCCAGAUGCCCACAUCUUACAAUAUGUCACAUAUAAGUAUUUCGUGCAAACCAGAGAUUCUCCUUUCUUUUGAAUAUACAUAUAGCUGAAGAGGAUGGGGAGAUGAGACAAUGGCAGCUUUGCUUUCUCCGUAAUCUUCUUUUACAUUCUCUACAAGACAACUGAGAACCUUCUUCCCUACAGCCAGCUGGAAGGGGACAAAAUAUAGAUGGGGCAGCAAUCCUUGUUUCUGAAAACCCAGAGUGGAGAUGUAAAGCAGAGAGCUCUCCUUCAGUUACCAUGGAAGGAAUCAGAAGACAUCUCAGUUUUUUUUUUCCCAGGAGCUCAAGACAGCACUCACCAGACUUCCUUCUCCUAUUUUAUUCUUAGAAGAUACUGAACUUAACAAUCUGUCUCAAAGCAUCCAGUGAGCUCCCAUAGCAGAACGCAGAGUUGAAUCUGAGGACUCCUAGUCCUAGCCAAUCAUCUAACUACUAAUCUUUUGGCAACAGAUUACCAAGGGAGAAUGCCAAACAGAAAGCAUGAAAGCAUGGCUCUGAAAAAAAUUCUAGUCCUGCUGUAACAGUAAGCUUGUAAUCUGGGGCUCCUUCUGGAUUCACGAUUCCUUUAAGAAGAGCGUAUAGAAGUCUGGUUAAGAAAGCCUUUGCUCACAUUUGGCUGAUGAUUUUCAAAAAUAGGGACGCUAGCGACAACCAUCCUUUGCCUUGGCUGGUACGAAGUAUGCCAUCCCAACUGAGAAGGAAUGUCAUCCACUGUCAUGUAACACCUUUACUUUGAAAGCUGCAGUGGUUGCGGCUCGCUUGUUGGUAUUAGUGUACACAGCUACAGACAUCUUUCAA